AUUGAACGCUGGCGGCAUGCCUUACACAUGCAAGUCGAACGGCAGCACGGGUGCUUGCACCUGGUGGCGAGUGGCGAACGGGUGAGUAAUACAUCGGAACAUGUCCUGUAGUGGGGGAUAGCCCGGCGAAAGCCGGAUUAAUACCGCACACGAUCUACGGAUGAAAGCGGGGGACCUUCGGGCCUCGCGCUAUAGGGUUGGCCGAUGGCUGAUUAGCUAGUUGGUGGGGUAAAGGCCUACCAAGGCGACGAUCAGUAGCUGGUCUGAGAGGACGACCAGCCACACUGGGACUGAGACACGGCCCAGACUCCUACGGGAGGCAGCAGUGGGGAAUUUUGGACAAAGGGCGAAAGCCUGAUCCAGCAAUGCCGCGUGUGUGAAGAAGGCCUUCGGGUUGUAAAGCACUUUUGUCCGGAAAGAAAUCCUUGGCCCUAAUACGGUCGGGGGAUGACGGUACCGGAAGAAUAAGCACCGGCUAACUACGUG
This 486-nucleotide ribosomal RNA is filed under the name uncultured bacterium. RNAcentral's name for it is "partial 16S ribosomal RNA". It matches the Rfam family "Bacterial small subunit ribosomal RNA", at positions 30 to 507 of the family's 1533-position model. The record is from RNAcentral.